GGCCUAUAGCUCAGUGGUAGAGCAUUCGUUUUGCAUUCAGAAGAUCCCAGGUUCAAUCCUGGGCAGCUCCA
This is a non-coding RNA of Podarcis lilfordi (Lilford's wall lizard), 71 nucleotides long. Lineage: Eukaryota; Metazoa; Chordata; Lepidosauria; Squamata; Lacertidae. The record is from the annotation of a GenBank genome assembly.